Molecule: transfer RNA, 88 nt
Filed under: Caudoviricetes sp.
Lineage: Duplodnaviria; Heunggongvirae; Uroviricota; Caudoviricetes
Description: tRNA-OTHER
Rfam family: tRNA
About the family: Transfer RNA (tRNA) molecules are approximately 80 nucleotides in length. Their secondary structure includes four short double-helical elements and three loops (D, anti-codon, and T loops).
Source: RNAcentral
GGAUAGGUAGCAGUAGCGGUCAACUGAAGGUGUCGUCAAACACUAUAUGACAUACAGUCAUUCAUUGGUUCGAAUCCAAUCCUAUCCG